RNAcentral lists this ribosomal RNA (210 nucleotides) under Triticum aestivum (bread wheat). Its description in RNAcentral is "partial small subunit ribosomal RNA". Lineage: Eukaryota; Viridiplantae; Streptophyta; Magnoliopsida; Poales; Poaceae. The record is from RNAcentral.
AUGAGCGCCGCCGGGAGGGAGAAACGAACAAGGGGUUCUUCUCCCGACUCUGCGACUCCCCAGUUCUCCUCGAUGGUGGAGAUCACGUCUGACAUUGGCAUCUAUCGACGGGGCAAGAAGAGCUUCUCGCUGGACAGGCAUAGCGGCGCCAAAAAGUACAUGCUACCGGCGAAAGCUCUGUGCUACGGGUGGAGUGGCUACCCCUACUGA